AUUCAGUCUGGAUGCGCGGACGCGAUGGUCGGAAGACGAAAGGCAGGGCUUUCCCCAUCGGGAGCCGUCCGAUCGCGCGGAGCUCCGCGUUGCCAGACGCAUUUGUCUCUCGUCCCGAGGACGCCGCAGCCGGCUGGGUAGUGCAAGCGCGACGGCCUGAGGGGCGGAAGAUGGCAGGUGGCCGGUGGCUCGCUUCAUUGHGGGUCGCCGGUUGUUAGCCGUUCCGCCGGUGGCACGUCACCCGGCCGAGGUGUCGCGAGGCCUUUCGGGGCCUCUUCGUCUCCCCCCUCUGUGGAAGCGGGACAGGGCGCCGCAGGUGGGGAACGUCGUCCCGUUCGCACCCUUCAGGGGUGGUCGGGCGAACGGAACCCGCCGUUGGUGGCGACGGACCCGUCGGAGGUCGGGGGCUGGCGGCGAGUAGGUCGGUCACCCACCCGACCCGUCUUGAAACACGGACCAAGGAGUCUAACAUGUGCGCGAGUCAAUGGGUCUUGAACAGGCCCAGAGGCGCAACGAAAGCGAAGGCCGACGCCACGUCGGCCGAGUUGGGAUCCCCCGUCUUYAUGCGGGGGCGCACCGACGACCCGUCCCCUCCGGUUCGCCGGUCGGGCGGAGUGAGAGCGUACACGUUGGGACCCGAAAGAUGGUGAACUAUGCCCGGACAGGACGAAGCCAGAGGAAACUCUGAUGGAGGUCCGCAGCGGUUCUGACGUGCAAAU
RNAcentral lists this ribosomal RNA (719 nucleotides) under Chumma inquieta. Its description in RNAcentral is "eukaryotic LSU rRNA". The stretch from base 456 to 719 matches the Rfam family "Eukaryotic large subunit ribosomal RNA", at positions 665 to 898 of the family's 3401-position model. The record is from RNAcentral. Lineage: Eukaryota; Metazoa; Arthropoda; Arachnida; Araneae; Macrobunidae.